Molecule: ribosomal RNA, 393 nt
Filed under: uncultured bacterium
Lineage: Bacteria
Description: bacterial SSU rRNA
Rfam family: Bacterial small subunit ribosomal RNA
Source: RNAcentral
UAAGGGGGAAAGACCUUACAUACACUUGACAUCCCUUGCAUUACUGUUAAUCGAGGAAAUCCUUUGGGGGACAAGGUGACAGGUGGUGCAUGGUGGUCGUCAGCUCGUGUCGUGAGAUGUUGGGUUAAGUCCCGCAACGAGCGCAACCCUUGUCGUUAGUUACUACCAUUAAGUUGAGGAUUUUAGCGAGACUGCCUGGGUUAACCAGGAGGAAGGUGGGGAUGACGUCAAAUCAUCAUGCCCCUUAUGUGUAGGGUUACACACGUGUUACAAUGGCUGGUACAGAGAGAGGCAAUACCGGGAGGUGGAGCCAAACCUUAAAACCAGUCUCAGUUCGGAUUGUAGGCUGAAACUCGCCUACAUGAAGCUGGAGUUACUAGUAAUCCGCGAAUU